CGCCGCGUGGAGGAUGAAGGCCGUAWGGUUGUAAACUCKUGUUAGAGGAGAAGAAUAGUACCGAUUGGAUCGGUAUUUGASUGUACCCUCAGAAAAAGCCCCGGCUAACURCGUGCCMGCAGCCGCGGUAAUACGUAGGGSGCAAGCGUUGUCCGGAUUUACUGGGUGUAAAGGGCGCGCAGGCGGGAUAGCAAGUCAGAGGUGAAAUCCUACAKCUUAACUGUAGAACUGCCUUUGAUACUGUUAUUCUUGAGUUCGGGAGARAGAGACGGAAUUCCAGGUGUAGUGGUGAAAUACGUARAUAUCUGGAAGAACACCAGUUGCGAAGGCGGUCUCUUGGUCCGAUACUGACGCUKAGGCGCGAAAGCGUGGGGAGCAAACAGGAUUAGAUACCCUGGUAGUCCACGCUGUAAACGAUGAAUACUAGGUGUUGGGUUUUUMACUCAGUGCCGCAGCU
Molecule: ribosomal RNA, 457 nt
Filed under: uncultured Sphingobacteriia bacterium
Lineage: Bacteria; Pseudomonadati; Bacteroidota; Sphingobacteriia
Description: partial 16S ribosomal RNA
Rfam family: Bacterial small subunit ribosomal RNA
Source: RNAcentral